GGCGGCAUGCCUUACACAUGCAAGUCGAACGGCAGCACGGGGGCAACCCUGGUGGCGAGUGGCGAACGGGUGAGUAAUAUAUCGGAACGUGCCCUAGAGUGGGGGAUAACUAGUCGAAAGAUUGGCUAAUACCGCAUACGAUCUACGGAUGAAAGUGGGGGAUCGCAAGACCUCAUGCUCAUGGAGCGGCCGAUAUCUGAUUAGCUAGUUGGUGAGGUAAAGGCUCACCAAGGCGACGAUCAGUAGCUGGUCUGAGAGGACGACCAGCCACACUGGAACUGAGACACGGUCCAGACUCCUACGGGAGGCAGCAGUGGGGAAUUUUGGACAAUGGGCGCAAGCCUGAUCCAGCAAUGCCGCGUGAGUGAAGAAGGCCUUCGGGUUGUAAAGCUCUUUUGUCAGGGAAGAAACGGUUGCAGCUAAUAUCUGUGACUAAUGACGGUACCUGAAGAAUAAGCACCGGCUAACUACGUGCCAGCAGCCGCGGUAACAC
Molecule: ribosomal RNA, 493 nt
Filed under: uncultured beta proteobacterium
Lineage: Bacteria; Pseudomonadati; Pseudomonadota; Betaproteobacteria
Description: bacterial SSU rRNA
Rfam family: Bacterial small subunit ribosomal RNA
Source: RNAcentral